GACGAACGCUGGCGGCGUGCUUAACACAUGCAAGUCGAACGGGCCUUGUCCCCUUUUUUUUUGGGGGUGGGGUUAGUGGCGAACGGGUGAGUAACACGUGAGUAACCUGCCCCUCACUUCUGGAUAACCGCUUGAAAGGGUGGCUAAUACGGGGUGUUCUGGCCUGCUCGCAUGGGUGGGUUUGGAAAGAUUCGACCGGUUUUGGUUGUUUUGGUGGGGGAUGGGCUCGCGGCCUAUCAGCUUGUUGGUGGGGUGAUGGCCUGCCAAGGCUUUGACGGGUAGCCGGCCUGAGAGGGUGGGCGGUCACACUGGGGCUGAGACACGGCCCAGACUCCUACGGGAGGCAGCAGUGGGGAAUAUUGCACAAUGGGCGCAAGCCUGAUGCAGCGACGCCGCGUGAGGGAUGGAGGCCUUCGGGUUGUGAACCUCUUUCGCCAGUGAAGAAGGUCCUGCUCUUUGUGGUGGGGUUGACGGUAGCUGGGUUAAUGAAGCGCCGGCUAACUACGUG
RNAcentral lists this ribosomal RNA (508 nucleotides) under uncultured bacterium. RNAcentral describes it as "partial 16S ribosomal RNA". It matches the Rfam family "Bacterial small subunit ribosomal RNA", at positions 28 to 507 of the family's 1533-position model. The record is from RNAcentral.